Molecule: non-coding RNA, 293 nt
Organism: Pelobates cultripes (western spadefoot toad)
Lineage: Eukaryota; Metazoa; Chordata; Amphibia; Anura; Pelobatidae
Source: the annotation of a GenBank genome assembly
CUGAAGGCUAAUCCUUGUUCAAGAUCAAUUAGUUUUUUGUUUUUUUUUCUUUGAUAGGAUAUAUGGUCUCAGUCAGGGAUUACAUUUGUAACAUUGUAUUGGGGCCAUGUUAGUGAGGAAAGCUGAAUCACUUGUCCUGUGAACAAGUGACUUCGUAAAGGCAGUGUUUGUGGAUAUUUUGUAAGAGGAAUCUCAGUGUACUAAUUCAAUUAAAACAAUGUAUUUACUCAAAAUAUAAUUCACUAUAAAAUCUAAUGCGCAUUAAAAUUUUGAAAUCUGGGAGUUUUCCUGGC